Molecule: transfer RNA, 65 nt
Filed under: Colobopsis cylindrica s.l. SAB
Lineage: Eukaryota; Metazoa; Arthropoda; Insecta; Hymenoptera; Formicidae
Description: tRNA-Leu
Source: RNAcentral
UUUAAUAUGGCAGAUUAGUGCAAUAGAUUUAAAUUCUAUAUAUAAAGUUUCUUUCUUUUAUUAAA